Molecule: ribosomal RNA, 490 nt
Filed under: uncultured bacterium
Lineage: Bacteria
Description: partial 16S ribosomal RNA
Rfam family: Bacterial small subunit ribosomal RNA
Source: RNAcentral
AGUGAACGCUGGCGGUAGGCCUAACACAUGCAAGUCGAACGGCAGCACAGUAAGAGCUUGCUCUUACGGGUGGCGAGUGGCGGACGGGUGAGGAAUACAUCGGAAUCUACUUUUUCGUGGGGGAUAACGUAGGGAAACUUACGCUAAUACCGCAUACGACCUACGGGUGAAAGCAGGGGAUCUUCGGACCUUGCGCGAUUGAAUGAGCCGAUGUCGGAUUAGCUAGUUGGCGGGGUAAAGGCCCACCAAGGCGACGAUCCGUAGCUGGUCUGGGAGGAUGAUCAGCCACACUGGAACUGGGACACGGUCCAGACUCCUACGGGAGGCAGCAGUGGGGAAUAUUGGACAAUGGGCGCAAGCCUGAUCCAGCCAUACCGCGUGGGUGAAGAAGGCCUUCGGGUUGUAAAGCCCUUUUGUUGGGAAAGAAAAGCAGCAGGUUAAUACCCCGCUGUUCUGACGGUACCCAAAGAAUAAGCACCGGCUAACUUCG